Molecule: long non-coding RNA, 2074 nt
Filed under: Musa acuminata (dwarf banana)
Lineage: Eukaryota; Viridiplantae; Streptophyta; Magnoliopsida; Zingiberales; Musaceae
Description: long non-coding RNA (MACU_LNC010009)
Source: RNAcentral
CCAAGCAACUAAGCAAUAAGUCCAGUCGCUUGUUUGGUUCGUUGCUUGUUCUGUUUACUCUCGGGGCUUGUUCGAACGGUGAACUCCGUAAAGCAAUGGGCGCGAAAGAGAAGAAGAUAGCGUUCAUAGUAGUGUAUAUAAAGAAAGGGUAAAUAACACAAAGCAAUAGGCACGAAAGAGAAGAAGAUAGGUUUCAUAGUGUAUAGAAAGGAAAGGGUAAACAACACAAAGUCAGGAAGCAUGACUCCUUACUCACUUACCAUCCCCGUUACUCCACUCCGUUAGCGCUUAGCUUAAUAUACUUAGCUUGUUUACUAACGCUCUGAUAACUCAACUAGUACUUACUUUUAUAUGGGCGCACACCUAAUCAAUAGAAAUCCAGAAUCCCCCUUACUCGAGGCUCAAUAGAAGAAAAGAAUCACCCUACCUACUCUAUGGGGCUUCAAUAUAACAAAAGAAUCACCCUACACACCUAUUAGGAAAGAACAUAGGAAAGGUAAGGCAUAAGGGAAUAUAUAUUUAGAUAAAGGUCGAGGUACAGGAAAGGCUAAGUUCAGAGCUGGUUCGGGGCGGUAUUUGAGUGUUGUAUAGGAAAGAAGGUUCUAUUUGAAUAAGUUCAGUGUAAACCAUAAAUUCUACAAAUGAAUCCUAAAAAGACAGAAAGAAAUGGAUAGAAGAGUUAACUAAGGGCAUUAGAACUGUCUCGAUGGAAUCGGGUUGAAGGAAGGGAAGGGGCGGAUGAGGGUUUUGCUUGUGCGCGAGGAAAGAGCUCUAAAUCGUAUUCAGCCUCCACCGGAUUCAUAAGGAGUGAGUGAGCUUACUAAUAUCUUCUAGAUAGAAUCAGUCUACUUAACCAACCGCUCUAUACAAAAAGAUUCUUCAAAUGGUGAAUUACUUGACUUUGAAAGAUUCUUCAAAUGGUGAAUUACUUGACUUUGCGCCUUUCCCUAUGUUGUGAGGUGCGUGCCCAUCUAAUAUGUAAUAGUGGAGUUCGCCUAAGUGCUAACGCUUACUCUUGGGGUGGGGGUGCGGGGAACAAGCUUAGUAUAGGAACAGGCUACUAUAACAAGCAAGUAUACGAGAACAAGAAGCCAGGCAGUAAUUAGGCUCUUCCAUUCAAGUAGUAGGGGAUAGCUGCACCUAUAUUCUCACUUCCAGUUUCAGGAGUCACAGAGUCGGUUUGUUUUUUCACUCCAUUCUAUUAUAUACAAUGAACGCAUAUUUCCUUUCUAGCCUAUUCCUUAUAGCUUUUUUGAGUUACUACAGUAAGGUUAAGAAAUGACAUAAGAUGCUGGGGGUGAAAGGCACCUACUAAGAAUGCAUGGCAGCAGCUUUAGACAGACAAUGGAGGCAGAUAUGGACCUUUUCUCUUAUAGGAUGCCCCGAUAUUCCAUUCAGUAGAGGCAGCAGUGUUCUUAAGUGAGUUUAGAAAGAAGCCCAGGACUGCUUUGCUUAUCUUCUUUCAAAAAAGAGACUGCUUGCUAGUAUUGUAGGGGAGCACAUUAUACACAAGGCCAUUAAGAAGUCUGGACCAGUUGUAAAGUCAUAAACUCAUUGAAAUGUUGACUACCUACUAGCGCACAACAGCAUUGCUUCCCUAAUGGAAAACUCACUUGUUAACACUUUAAGAACUCCGCUAGGCACCGCAUCGAAUCUUUCGACUUCCUCCGCUAACUCUGCCAGGUACCCCGCAACAAACAAGCAAAGAAUAUUCCUCUGAUCUUGCAAAAUAUAGGUGCGGAACCAAACUAGACCAUUGACUCUGAAACGUAACUCAUUUAUUCUCUCUUACACCCCUAUUAUAGAAUCAAGUCACCCAACUAAGAAGCACUUAUUACUUACUGCAGGGCUGGCUCAACACACAAGUCAAGUAAGCUAAGACGAGUUAAUAGCACAUGGGCACCGAAUCCUUCUACUUCUUCUGCAAACUCAGUGCCCCUACUAUAAUUCCCCUCAACAGUAAGCGUUAGCGAGUUCUUAGGCUUCAAGUUGAGUUAUUCUUGUUGGCGCCCUAUAGCAUUAGUCAUCCAGCUCUUACAGCAAAGAGUCUAUUCCAACAGUGCCACGGCCCUCU